Molecule: ribosomal RNA, 200 nt
Filed under: uncultured organism
Description: partial small subunit ribosomal RNA
Rfam family: Bacterial small subunit ribosomal RNA
Source: RNAcentral
CUUAUGGGCAGGGCUACACACGUGCUACAAUGGCCGGUACAAAGGGCUGCCAACCCGCGAGGGGGAGCUAAUCCCAAAAAGCCGGUCGUAGUCCGGAUCGGAGUCUGCAACUCGACUCCGUGAAGUCGGAAUCGCUAGUAAUCGCGGAUCAGCAAUGCCGCGGUGAAUACGUUCCCGGGUCUUGUACACACCGCCCGUCA